RNAcentral lists this ribosomal RNA (427 nucleotides) under uncultured bacterium. RNAcentral describes it as "partial 16S ribosomal RNA". It matches the Rfam family "Bacterial small subunit ribosomal RNA", at positions 355 to 774 of the family's 1533-position model. The record is from RNAcentral.
UGGGGAAUAUUGGACAAUGGGCGAAAGCCUGAUCCAGCCAUGCCGCGUGUGUGAAGAAGGUCUUCGGAUUGUAAAGCACUUUAAGUUGGGAGGAAGGGCAUUAACCUAAUACGUUAGUGUUUUGACGUUACCGACAGAAUAAGCACCGGCUAACUCUGGGCCAGCAGCCGCGGUAAUACAGAGGGUGCAAGCGUUAAUCGGAAUUACUGGGCGUAAAGCGCGCGUAGGUGGUUUGUUAAGUUGGAUGUGAAAGCCCCGGGCUCAACCUGGGAACUGCAUCCAAAACUGGCAAGCUAGAGUACGGUAGAGGGUGGUGGAAUUUCCUGUGUAGCGGUGAAAUGCGUAGAUAUAGGAAGGAACACCAGUGGCGAAGGCGACCACCUGGACUGAUACUGACACUGAGGUGCGAAAGCGUGGGGAGCAAACA